Molecule: ribosomal RNA, 253 nt
Filed under: uncultured prokaryote
Description: partial 16S ribosomal RNA
Rfam family: Bacterial small subunit ribosomal RNA
Source: RNAcentral
ACGUAGGGUGCGGGCGUUAAUCGGAAUUACUGGGCGUAAAGUGUGCGCAGGCGGCGUUGCAAGUCGAGUGUGAAAGCCCCGGGCUUAACUUGGGAAUUGCGCUCGAAACUACUUGGCUGGAGUGUGGCAGAGGGGGGUGGAAUUCCACGUGUAGCGGUGAAAUGCGUAGAGAUGUGGAGGAACACCAAUGGCGAAGGCAGCCCCCUGGGCCAACACUGACGCUCAUGCACGAAAGCGUGGGGAGCAAACAGGA